CCAAGUCGUGAGGCGGAGCUAAUCCCUUAAAGCCAUUCUCAGUUCGGAUUGUAGGCUGAAACUCGCCUACAUGAAGCUGGAGUUACUAGUAAUCGCAGAUCAGAAUGCUGCGGUGAAUGCGUUCCCGGGUCUUGUACACACCGCCCGUCACACCAUGGGAGUCGGGAAUGCCCGAAGUCAGUGGCCCAACCGAAAGGGGGGAGCUGCCGAAGGCAGGCCUGGUGACUGGGGUGAAGUCGUAACAAGGUAUC
Molecule: ribosomal RNA, 251 nt
Filed under: uncultured bacterium
Lineage: Bacteria
Description: partial 16S ribosomal RNA
Rfam family: Bacterial small subunit ribosomal RNA
Source: RNAcentral